This 91-nucleotide ribosomal RNA is filed under the name Erythrobacter sp. Lineage: Bacteria; Pseudomonadati; Pseudomonadota; Alphaproteobacteria; Sphingomonadales; Erythrobacteraceae. The record is from RNAcentral.
CCACCCGAUCCCAUCUCGAACUCGGCCGUGAAACCGGACAGCGCCGAUGGUACUAGUGCUCAAGCACUGGAAGAGUAGGUCGUCGCCAGGC